CCUACGGGAGGCAGCAGUGGGGAAUAUUGCACAAUGGGGGAAACCCUGAUGCAGCGACGCCGCGUGAGUGAAGAAGGAAUUCGUUACGGAAAGCUCUAUCAGCAGGGAAGAAAAUGACGGUACCUGAGUAAGAAGCCACGGCUAACUACGUGCCAGCAGCCGCGGUAAGACGCAGGGGGCAAGCGUUAUCCGGAUUUACUGGGUUUAAAGGGAGCGUAGACGGGGGGCCAAGUCCGGCGUGAAAUGCCGCCGCUUAACUGCGGAACUGCUUUGGAAACUGGCGAACUAGAGUGCGGGCGGGGUAAGCGUAAUUCCUAGUGUAGCGGUGAAAUGCGUAGAUAUUAGGAGGAACACCGGUGGCGAAGGCGGCUUACUGGACCGUAACUGACGUUGAGGCUCGAAAGCGUGGGGAGCAAACAGGAUUAGAUACCCCAGUAGUC
Molecule: ribosomal RNA, 440 nt
Filed under: uncultured bacterium
Lineage: Bacteria
Description: partial 16S ribosomal RNA
Rfam family: Bacterial small subunit ribosomal RNA
Source: RNAcentral